RNAcentral lists this ribosomal RNA (468 nucleotides) under uncultured bacterium. Its description in RNAcentral is "partial 16S ribosomal RNA". It matches the Rfam family "Bacterial small subunit ribosomal RNA", at positions 28 to 507 of the family's 1533-position model. The record is from RNAcentral.
GACGAACGCUGGCGGCGUGCUUAACACAUGCAAGUCGAACGGAAAGGCCCUGCUUUUGUGGGGUGCUCGAGUGGCGAACGGGUGAGUAACACGUGAGUAACCUGCCCUUGACUUUGGGAUAACUUCAGGAAACUGGGGCUAAUACCGGAUAGGAGCUCCUGCUGCAUGGUGGGGGUUGGAAAGUUUCGGCGGUUGGGGAUGGACUCGCGGCUUAUCAGCUUGUUGGUGGGGUAGUGGCUUACCAAGGCUUUGACGGGUAGCCGGCCUGAGAGGGUGAUCGGCCACAGUGGGACUGAGAUACGGCCCAGACUCCUACGGGAGGCAGCAGUGGGGAAUAUUGCACAAUGGGCGGAAGCCUGAUGCAGCAACGCCGCGUGCGGGAUGACGGCCUUCGGGUUGUAAACCGCUUUCGCCUGUGACGAAGCGUGAGUGACGGUAAUGGGUAAAGAAGCACCGGCUAACUACGUG